RNAcentral lists this long non-coding RNA (3868 nucleotides) under Sus scrofa (pig). RNAcentral describes it as "lncRNA (ENSSSCG00055010460.1)". The record is from RNAcentral. Lineage: Eukaryota; Metazoa; Chordata; Mammalia; Artiodactyla; Suidae.
AAUCAGGCCUUUCCCAUCCAGAGUGGUGGACAACCAAACUUUUUAGUAGGAUUUGAAGUUUUGUUCACUAGGAUUACCCGAUGACUGCAACGCUAACAAUUAUUUAAAGACAAGUAAAAUCUGAUCAUUCUACCAUCCGAAGAUUAUUACACGGUUAGAAUUACUGAUAUUUUGAAUCCUGGUGUUUCUUGAUGAUUUCAUUUGAGAAUGCUGCCUUGAAAAACUGUUGCCUCUUGAGAAGAUUCAGGAGUCCUGUAGUAGAGAACAAGGAGGAUGAAGAUAAAUCCUAGAAGGAGGGAUUUCCAGUCUGGCUUGUUUGACAUACAACGUCCUCUAAAUUGAAAAAGGCAUCUUGUACAUGAACAGAUAUUUAUAUUGUCCUAGAAGUGUGAAGAUAAGCAGAUUUCAGCUUUUAACAUGAACACAUUUGUUGAGAGAGGAUAAUAGAUAUUCUACAGCUAGACAUCAAGAUUUCUGCAGAGACAUUUAAAUCCGGCUUACGGAGAAAGGCCUGGAGAGAACCCAAAAGGCUGGGCCACAGGAGAAGUCACCCUCUCUGCCUGUCCUGGAGCUUGUACCUGGCUCGUCUCCUGUCUUUGGACUCCUCCGACUUUACCAUCAGCUUUCAAGUGUUCACCUUGCCGGCUGAAGAUCUUAGGACCUUUCAGCCUCCGUGACCACGACACCCAAACAGGCUUGCCAAUGGAAUUCCUAGAAAAGCCUUGGCGUUGGAGGCAGAGCAAGACGGCGGAGGAGUAAGAGGUCGCGCUCACCGUCUCCCACAAACACAUCGAAAAAACACAUCUACGUGUAAAAGGACUUGCACAGAACAUCAACUGGAUGCUGGCAGAAGAGCUUAAACUUCCAAAAAGGGCAAGAAACUCUUACAUAACUGGGUAGAACAAAAGCAAAUAAGAGAGAGAAAGAAAAGGAAUCAAGAGGGGACUAGCAUUCCUGAGGGGGGGCAGUGAAGGAGAAAAGGAACCGUCAUCCUGGGAAGCCACCUAACUGGCAGAAAGAUCAGCCGAGUCGGAAGGACCUCAAAGUCGCCGAGAAAAGUGCAGCAGCUGCACUGAGGACAGCAAAGCAGAGGGAGAGCCACACAGAUCAUCUGCACCACCAGCCUGGACACCACAGCCUGAGACGCUCGGGUGGGGAUUGGGCACUGAGACGCAGGCUCCAGAGGUCAGUCCCAGGGAGAGGACUGGGGUUGGUGGUGUGGAGACAGCCUGAGGGGCUAAGUGUGAUGCGGUGCCUACCAAGCACCAUAUGCUGUCACUUUCACUCCCCUGGGAACACACUCACCCUGCAGUUGCCACUGCCAAAUGCUCUGGGAAGUGCCCAGACACUUGGCCACUGUCCCUUCCCAAGAUGCUACAACUAGGAGAAGCUGGUGCAGCACCUCCUGCGUGGGCUAAGUGGGACAGGGUGCUUCUUGCAUGGUCUGCAGGUGGCAGGAGCAAACCACUACAGUUACUCCUGACUCCAGAGGUGGGCAUGGCCCACCGCCACUGGGGAUACCUGAACAAAAAUCACUUGCGUCCCCAACCACCUCAGAGGGCACCACAGAGAAGGACAUUGCAGCAGAACACCACCUGUUGUUGCUGUCGCUCCCCUGGGAGCACACCUGCCCUGCUACUGCCACUGUCAAACACUCUGGGCAAUGCCCAAACAGUUGAUCAUUGUCCCUUCCCAGGAACCUGCACCUAGGAGAAGCUUGUGCAACACUUCCUGAGGGGACUAAGCAGGAUGAGGUGCUUCUUGCAUGGUCUACAGGAGGUGGGUGCAAACCACUGCAGUUAUCUCUGGCUCCAGAGGUGGGAGUUGACCGCCACCACUAGGGGUCCGUGAACAGGUACCACUUGCAGCCCCAGUCACCUCAAGGGUACCACAGAGAAAGGGCAUUGUGACCAAACACCACCUGUUGGUGCUCCUGCACCCCUUGGAACACACCAGCUGUUGCCACUGCUGAAUGCUCCGGGCAGUACCCACACAACUGAUUUCUGUCACUUCCCAGAAUCCUGCAACUAGGAAAAGCCUGUGCAGCACCUCCUAUGUGGGCUAAGUAAGGUGGGUUAUUUCAUGCAUGGUCUACAGGUUGUGGAGGCAAACCACCGCAGCUAUCAAUGACUCCAGAGACAGGCAUGGCCCGCUACCACUAAGGGUCCCUGAACAAGUACCACAUGUGCUUCCAAUCAUCUCAGAGGAGGGCACUGCAAUUGAACACUAACUGUUGUUGCUCUCACUCCCCUGGGAACUCACUCACCCUGCUGCUGCUACUGCCAAAUGCUCUGGUCACCUUGUAGAUCUGCCUAGAGCUCAGUACUACUUCCCAGGGCCCUGCAACUAGGAGGAGCAUGUGCCACCUUCCUGCAGGUCCUUGCUGCUGUUGAGAACCCAGUGACCAGGCACUGUCUGCUGGCCCUACCCAUUGCCUCCUUCUCACUGAAAACACACUGAGCAUCCUGGGGAUAACAGCCUGCUCACGUUGAAUAAAGAGACAGCAAAUAUUCAAACUCCCACACCAAAAAUAAAGACUUAUCCCCCCCCCCCAAAAGAAUAUAAAGGGGUGCUCUGGCAUAGAAGUAGCCUUACAAGCAUACAGUUUGGCUUCCCCAAGCUUACAUAAAAAGAAAAACAUAAGCAAGAUGAAGAAGCUCAGAAACCAUUCCCAGUUAAAGGAAUAGAAGAAUUCACUUAAAGCAGUCAAUAAUGAAAGAGAUCUCUGCAGUCUGACAGACAUUGAGUUCAAAAGGGAGACAGUGAAAAUACUGAAGGAAUUAAGGCUGGGUAUCAAGGAAUUAAGAGAAGCUACAAACAGUAAUGCAGAUUCCCUUAGAAGAGAACUAGAAAAUAUAAGGAAGAGCCAAGAAAAAUUAGAAAAUUCAUUUGCAGAGAUGCAAACUCAGUUAAAGGCAAUAAAGAGCAGAAUGACUAAUGGAGAGGAACAAAUUAGUGACGUGGAAGAUAGAAUAAUGGAAAUCACCCAAUCAGGACAGCCGACAGAAAAUCAAAUGAAGAAACAUGAAAACAAUAUAAAAGAUCUAUGGGAUAAUAUAAAGUGGGCCAAUCUAUGCAUAAUAGGAAUUACAGAAGGAGAAGAAAAAGAAAAGGGGAUUUAAAAAAUAUAUUUGAGGAAAUUAUCUCUGAAAAUUUUCCAAAUCUAAAGGAAACUGAUAUCAAGACAUAGGAAAAACAGAGGGCCCCCCAAAGACAUAAUAAAAAUGGCAAAAGAUAAAGAGAGGAUCCUAAAGUCAACAAGAGAAAAGCAAAGCAUUAAUUAUAAGGGAACCCCCCCCCAUAAGGCUAUCAGCAGAUUUCUCUACAGAAACAUUACAGGCCAGAAGGAAGUGGCAAGAUAUAUUUAAAGUGCUGAAAGGAAGAAAUUUGCAACCUAGAAUACUCUAUCCAGCAAGAAUAUCAUUUAAAAUAGAAGGGGAAAUAAAGAAUUUCUCCAACAAACAAAAGAUAAAAGAGUACAGCAAUACUAAACCCAUUCUAAAGAUAUACUGAAAGGGCGUCUCUAAAUGAAAGAAGAAGAAGAAAUAGAAUGGAGGAAACCACAAUUGGAAAGCAAUCACUUAAAUAAGCCAGCAUACAGAUCUAAACAUGAAGAUGUUAAAAUAAAUAAAUAAUAAAAGACAUCAAAAUCAUACAAUGUGGGGAAGGAGAGUACGAAAAUAUAGAUUUUUUUUAUUUUAUUUUAAUGUUGUGUCUGAGUCCAUAUGACUAUUAGGCUAAAGCAGGCAGAUAUAAGAAGGGGUUAACAUACUUAAAAAACAGGGCAACCACAAAUCAAAACUGAGCAUUACAGUCACAAAAACCAAAAAGAAAAGUACUCAAGCAUAAAAUAAAUGGAAACCAUCCC